This 72-nucleotide transfer RNA is filed under the name Camelus bactrianus (Bactrian camel). It matches the Rfam family "tRNA". Rfam says of the family: Transfer RNA (tRNA) molecules are approximately 80 nucleotides in length. Their secondary structure includes four short double-helical elements and three loops (D, anti-codon, and T loops). Further hydrogen bonds mediate the characteristic L-shaped molecular structure. tRNAs have two regions of fundamental functional importance: the anti-codon, which is responsible for specific mRNA codon recognition, and the 3' end, to which the tRNAs corresponding amino acid is attached (by aminoacyl-tRNA synthetases). tRNAs cope with the degeneracy of the genetic code in two manners: having more than one tRNA (with a specific anti-codon) for a particular amino acid; and 'wobble' base-pairing, i.e. permitting non-standard base-pairing at the 3rd anti-codon position. The record is from Rfam by way of RNAcentral. Lineage: Eukaryota; Metazoa; Chordata; Mammalia; Artiodactyla; Camelidae. RNAcentral also lists the same sequence under 2 other names.
GGAGGUAUAGCUCUGUGGUAGAGUGUGUGCCUGGCAUGCAUACGGUCUUGGGUUCAAUCCCCAGUACUUCCA